This 469-nucleotide ribosomal RNA is filed under the name uncultured bacterium. RNAcentral's name for it is "partial 16S ribosomal RNA". It matches the Rfam family "Bacterial small subunit ribosomal RNA", at positions 28 to 507 of the family's 1533-position model. The record is from RNAcentral.
GACGAACGCUGGCGGCGUGCUUAACACAUGCAAGUCGAACGGAAAGGCCCUGCUUGCAGGGUGCUCGAGUGGCGAACGGGUGAGUAACACGUGGGUGAUCUGCCCCUUACUUUGGGAUAAGCCUGGGAAACUGGGUCUAAUACUGGAUAGGACCAUGCUGUAGGUGGUGUGGUGGACAGAUUAGUUUCGGUAAGGGAUGAGCUCGCGGCCUAUCAGCUUGUUGGUGGGGUAAUGGCCUACCAAGGCGUCGACGGGUAGCCGGCCUGAGAGGGUGGACGGCCACAUUGGGACUGAGAUACGGCCCAGACUCCUACGGGAGGCAGCAGUGGGGAAUAUGGCACAAUGGGCGCAAGACUGAUGCAGCGACGCCGCGUGGGGGAGGACGGCCUCCGGGUUGUAAACUCCUUUCAGCCAUGACGAAGCCCUUGUGGUGACGGUAGUGGUAGAAGAAGCACCGGCUAACUACGUG